This 119-nucleotide small RNA is filed under the name Mycolicibacterium fallax. RNAcentral describes it as "Mycobacterium fallax Actinobacteria sRNA Ms_IGR-7". It matches the Rfam family "Actinobacteria sRNA Ms_IGR-7". Lineage: Bacteria; Bacillati; Actinomycetota; Actinomycetes; Mycobacteriales; Mycobacteriaceae. The record is from Rfam by way of RNAcentral.
CGGAAGUGCCUUUCUUGGGCUGUUCAGAUUGUGGUGUGGUAACUCCAAUCAUCGCAGCUCAGAGGGCACUUUCCCUAUUGCGACACCCGGUCACCCGGUCAAUUCUUCGGUGGAUCGAG